GGUAUGGCAGCAAUGCCAGAGACCGGCGCACGGGUGCGUAACGCGUAUGCAAUCUGCCUUUCACAGAGGGAUAGCCCAGAGAAAUUUGGAUUAAUACCUCAUAGCAUAAUGAGUUGGCAUCAACACAUUAUUAAAGUCACAACGGUGAAAGAUGAGCAUGCGUCCCAUUAGCUAGUUGGUAAGGUAACGGCUUACCAAGGCGACGAUGGGUAGGGGUCCUGAGAGGGAGAUCCCCCACACUGGUACUGAGACACGGACCAGACUCCUACGGGAGGCAGCAGUGAGGAAUAUUGGUCAAUGGGCGCAAGCCUGAACCAGCCAUGCCGCGUGCAGGAUGACGGUCCUAUGGAUUGUAAACUGCUUUUGUACGGGAAGAAACAGCGAUUCGUGAAUCGCCUUGACGGUACCGUAAGAAUAAGGAUCGGCUAACUCCGUGCCAGCAGCCGCGGUAAUACGGAGGAUCCAAGCGUUAUCCGGAAUCAUUGGGUUUAAAGGGUCCGUAGGCGGUUUUGUAAGUCAGUGGUGAAAGCCCAUCGCUCAACGGUGGAACGGCCAUUGAUACUGCAAGACUUGAAUUAUUAGGAAGUAACUAGAAUAUGUAGUGUAGCGGUGAAAUGCUUAGAGACUACAUGGAAUACCAAUUGCGAAGGCAGGUUACUACUAAUGGAUUGACGCUGAUGGACGAAAGCGUGGGUAGCGAACAGGAUUAGAUACCCUGGUAGUCCACGCCGUAAACGAUGGAUACU
RNAcentral lists this ribosomal RNA (746 nucleotides) under uncultured Bacteroidota bacterium. Its description in RNAcentral is "bacterial SSU rRNA". It matches the Rfam family "Bacterial small subunit ribosomal RNA", at positions 67 to 817 of the family's 1533-position model. Lineage: Bacteria; Pseudomonadati; Bacteroidota. The record is from RNAcentral.